Non-coding RNA from Thamnophis sirtalis, 485 nucleotides. Lineage: Eukaryota; Metazoa; Chordata; Lepidosauria; Squamata; Natricidae. The record is from RefSeq and is a predicted model, not a curated record.
AGUCACAAAGACAAAGAUGUAGAAGGGAGGAAACAACCUCCCCCUAGAUUGUGGAAGGCUGCAGAAGGAGAAGCCCAACUGGGUGAUGGAGAGUAUGGCAAAGCAGCAAGCAGCUUGCAACUGGGAACCAGUAAGCAGAAGCCCAGUGGCAAGAGGCCGUUCCUCCCACUGUCCCCGCCAAAGGGCAAGAGUCAAGGCUUUGAGGCCCACUUGGAUGGCCAUGGGAACUUUAAUACAGAUACGUAUUCCUGCCCUGGGAUCCUGCUGAAAGCUUGCCGGAAACCGUCUGAUUGCGAUGGCUGCUUGGGCCUCUAUACUUGCAAACUUCCAAAAGGAAGGUGUGACUUCAAAGCAGUUUCCCGACAAACAGGUGGCUUUCUCCAGAGUAUCCAGGAAAGAUAAAAUAUACCGUCUCGGUGAAAAGCUGACCCAAAACAGUGUAUUUGGGGAUGGAGAUGAAUUAAACAAACAAUCUUGGCCAUGAA